This 492-nucleotide ribosomal RNA is filed under the name uncultured bacterium. RNAcentral describes it as "partial 16S ribosomal RNA". It matches the Rfam family "Bacterial small subunit ribosomal RNA", at positions 29 to 507 of the family's 1533-position model. The record is from RNAcentral.
AGUGAACGCUGGCGGUAGGCCUAACACAUGCAAGUCGAACGGCAGCACAGUAAGAGCUUGCUCUUACGGGUGGCGAGUGGCGGACGGGUGAGGAAUACAUCGGAAUCUACUUUUUCGUGGGGGAUAACGUAGGGAAACUUACGCUAAUACCGCAUACGACCUACGGGUGAAAGCAGUGGAUCUUCGGACCUUGCGCGAUUGAAUGAGCCGAUGUCGGAUUAGCUAGUUGGCGGGGUAAAGGCCCACCAAGGCGACGAUCCGUAGCUGGUCUGAGAGGAUGAUCGGCCACACUGGAACUGAGACACGGUCCAGACUCCUACGGGAGGCAGCAGUGGGGAAUAUUGGACAAUGGGCGCAAGCCUGAUCCAGCCAUACCGCGUGGGUGAAGAAGGCCUUCGGGUUGUAAAGCCCUUUUGUCGGGAAAGAAAAGCAGCAGGUUAAUACCCCGCUGUUCUGACGGUACCCAAAGAAUAAGCACCGGCUAACUUCGUG